RNAcentral lists this ribosomal RNA (552 nucleotides) under Bifidobacterium thermophilum. RNAcentral describes it as "partial 16S ribosomal RNA". It matches the Rfam family "Bacterial small subunit ribosomal RNA", at positions 147 to 710 of the family's 1533-position model. RNAcentral also lists the same sequence under 1 other name. Lineage: Bacteria; Bacillati; Actinomycetota; Actinomycetes; Bifidobacteriales; Bifidobacteriaceae. The record is from RNAcentral.
CUCCUGGAAACGGGUGGUAAUGCCGGAUGUGCCGGGCUCCUGCAUGGGGGUCCGGGAAAGCUCUGGCGGCGUGGGAUGGGGUCGCGUCCUAUCAGCUUGUUGGCGGGGUGAGGGCCCACCAAGGCUUCGACGGGUAGCCGGCCUGAGAGGGCGACCGGCCACAUUGGGACUGAGAUACGGCCCAGACUCCUACGGGAGGCAGCAGUGGGGAAUAUUGCACAAUGGGCGCAAGCCUGAUGCAGCGACGCCGCGUGCGGGAUGGAGGCCUUCGGGUUGUAAACCGCUUUUGUUUGGGAGCAAGCCCUUCGGGGUGAGUGUACCUUUCGAAUAAGCACCGGCUAACUACGUGCCAGCAGCCGCGGUAAUACGUAGGGUGCGAGCGUUAUCCGGAUUUAUUGGGCGUAAAGGGCUCGUAGGCGGUUCGUCGCGUCCGGUGUGAAAGUCCAUCGCCUAACGGUGGAUCUGCGCCGGGUACGGGCGGGCUGGAGUGCGGUAGGGGAGACUGGAAUUCCCGGUGUAACGGUGGAAUGUGUAGAUAUCGGGAAGAACACC